RNAcentral lists this non-coding RNA (28 nucleotides) under Mus musculus (house mouse). The record is from RNAcentral. Lineage: Eukaryota; Metazoa; Chordata; Mammalia; Rodentia; Muridae.
UGGGUACAAUGUUCUACUCAACCAGUGC